GUCCUGGUGGCGAAGUGGUUAACGCUACGGUUUGCAAAACCGUCAUUCGUGGGUUCGACUCCCACCCAGGACU
Non-coding RNA from Candidatus Kaiserbacteria bacterium, 73 nucleotides. The record is from Rfam. NCBI's taxonomy places the organism in Bacteria, Candidatus Kaiseribacteriota.